This 258-nucleotide ribosomal RNA is filed under the name uncultured bacterium. RNAcentral's name for it is "partial 16S ribosomal RNA". It matches the Rfam family "Bacterial small subunit ribosomal RNA", at positions 524 to 777 of the family's 1533-position model. The record is from RNAcentral.
GACAUAGGUGGCGAACGUUAUCCGGAUUUAUUGGGCGUAAAGGAUGCGUAGAUGGUGGAAUAAGUUGUUGGUCAAAAUCGAGCUCAACUUGAUGGAAGCUGAUAAUACUGUUCUGCUUGAGGACAGGAGAGGUUAGCGGAACUCUAUGCGAUAGGGGUGAAAUCCGAUUGAUCUAUAGAGGACCACCAAAAAAGGCGAAGGCAGCUAACUAUUCUGCUCCUGACAUUGAGGCAUGAAAGCGUGGGGGAGCAAAACGGG